AUGGAAUUUGAGAGGGACAGCGUGCGAGGCAGUUUUAUGGAACUACUAAACAUGGUUGAGCAGCCAAUGUCAAAUAUCAAUCAACAGACCACUGUAAACUCAGUACCUGAAGAAAGUUCAUGCUAUUCUGAUAGACCUUAUUGCUCAGAAGACAAUGAUGUACUUUCGAGACCUAACUUAAGGGUUGACACUUGUGAUUAUGUCGAUGACUCAAAUGAAGUAGAGUCACGUCUAGAAUGUAUCAAAGACCCGUUCGAACUUCCAGAUAAGAUGUCUAGGCCUGAAAAUCUAGAUGAGCACUACCUGGACAUAGGAGUGAUCCAAAUCCCAAUUCUUCUAUCCAUUUAA
RNAcentral lists this ribosomal RNA (348 nucleotides) under Triticum aestivum (bread wheat). Its description in RNAcentral is "partial small subunit ribosomal RNA". The record is from RNAcentral. Lineage: Eukaryota; Viridiplantae; Streptophyta; Magnoliopsida; Poales; Poaceae.